Macrobrachium nipponense is the source of this 822-nucleotide long non-coding RNA. RefSeq lists it as uncharacterized. The transcript has 2 exons. The record is from RefSeq and is a predicted model, not a curated record. Lineage: Eukaryota; Metazoa; Arthropoda; Malacostraca; Decapoda; Palaemonidae.
GUUUUGUUUGCGAGUAACGAAAAAAAGUGCCAGCCUUUAAAGCCGAAAUUUUGACAAAAAUCUUACAACUAAAACAGUUGGCAAGUGAUUCUGAUGAGCAGAGGAAGUGCACUUCUUUGACCAUUAGGGUGCGGAGGAAUCUGGAACCACUCUGAAAUUGCCGUCCACUUUUCAUUAAUCAACCGAAGUGGAUAUUCUCGCAGACCCUCCCAGCAGCCAGCCUUUGUGCAUAGCCACACAUCUGCAAUCUGACUGGCAAGUAUGUCUGACCACUCGGGAUCUGAUACGGACGAGUCCCUCGUCGUUUACCACAACAUCCUGAGCAUGGAGAGCGACGUUGACGUCUUCUUCGCCAGGGCCAAUGCGCGAAUCAUGUGCACACUCAGGUGCGAGGUCCAGGAUCUGAAGGAGCAGGUGCUUAACCUGGAGAACAGGUGUGAGCUCAUGAGGGCUGAGAACGAAGCUCUGCGUCAGCAGAUACCCAAUGCUGGAGCGGCCGUGCCCCUGGGGAAUGAGGGCCAGGGGAAUGUGGCCCCCGAAAAUUAGCCCUAAGGGAACCAAGUCCCUGAUGGGGAGAUGACGCAUGGUUUGGUGUCAUUAGGAUGGCCACCACACACAAUUUUAACCUUUCGUCGUGAUGUUUUUUUUAGUCUAGUUUCACCUAGUGUUUCUUAAAUCUUAUUACUAAUAUUGUCACUAAUAUUAUUGUUAGUAAUAUUGGCAUUAAUAUAGUUACUUUAAUAUUACCAUUAAUAUUUUUGCAUGAAUAUUGCCACAUCGAUUUAACCUUUUAGAUAUUCAGACUACGUCAUUCUGAUCACU